UAGAACCUGAGACCCAGAAUGUUCUCUGAGUU
RNAcentral lists this non-coding RNA (32 nucleotides) under Rattus norvegicus (Norway rat). The record is from RNAcentral. Lineage: Eukaryota; Metazoa; Chordata; Mammalia; Rodentia; Muridae.